UACGUAGGGGGCUAGCGUUGUCCGGAAUCAUUGGGCGUAAAGCGCGUGUAGGCGGCCCGGUAAGUCCGCUGUGAAAGUCGGGGGCUCAACCCUCGGAUGCCGGUGGAUACUGUCGGGCUAGAGUACGGAAGAGGCGAGUGGAAUUCCCGGUGUAGUGGUGAAAUGCGUAGAUAUCGGGAGGAACACCAGUGGCGAAGGCGACUACCUGGCCUGUUCUUGACGCUGAGGCGCGAAAGCUAGGGGAGCAAACGGG
RNAcentral lists this ribosomal RNA (253 nucleotides) under uncultured bacterium. RNAcentral's name for it is "partial 16S ribosomal RNA". It matches the Rfam family "Bacterial small subunit ribosomal RNA", at positions 524 to 776 of the family's 1533-position model. The record is from RNAcentral.